GUUGGUGAUUCAACGCAGUGGGUACACCUCUUCCCAUUCCGAACAGAGUAGUUAAGCACUGUAGUGGCAAUGAUACUCGUAAGGGGAAAGUAGCUAGUCGCCAACA
Molecule: ribosomal RNA, 106 nt
Filed under: Candidatus Berkelbacteria bacterium
Lineage: Bacteria; Candidatus Berkelbacteria
Source: RNAcentral